This 440-nucleotide ribosomal RNA is filed under the name uncultured bacterium. RNAcentral's name for it is "partial 16S ribosomal RNA". It matches the Rfam family "Bacterial small subunit ribosomal RNA", at positions 338 to 795 of the family's 1533-position model. The record is from RNAcentral.
CCUACGUGGGGCAGCAGUAGGGAAUAUUGCUCAAUGGACGAGACCCUGAAGCAGCCACGCAGCGUGGAGGAUGAAUGUUUUCUGAUUUUAAACUCCUUUUUUUAUAGAAGAUAAUGACGGUAUCUAACGAAUAAUCACCGGCUAACUCCGGGCCAGCAGCCGCGGUAAUACGGAGGGUGCAAGCGUUACUCGGAUUCACUGGGCGUAAAGAGCGCGUAGGCGGGAUAGCAAGUCAGAUGUGAAAUCCUAUGGCUUAACCAUAAAACUGCAGUUGAAACUGUUAUUCUUGAGUACGGGAGAGGUAGGCGGAAUUCUUGGUGUAGGGGUAAAAUCCGUAGAGAUCAAGAGGAAUACUCAUUGCGAAGGCGACCUGCUAGAACAUAACUGACGCUGAUGUGCGAAAGUGUGGGGAGCAAACAGGAUUAGAUACCCCUGUAGUC